Molecule: long non-coding RNA, 2469 nt
Organism: Mus musculus (house mouse)
Lineage: Eukaryota; Metazoa; Chordata; Mammalia; Rodentia; Muridae
Product: RIKEN cDNA 5730419F03 gene
Exons: 4
Source: RefSeq, a predicted model, not a curated record
AUUACUUAAUGAGAAGAACCAAACAUCUCUGUCAUAAAACAUCCCAGCUGUUGAGUCACCCCGAGCCACACGUAGGAUAGCUCGGAUUGGGAAAUGAAAAGGAACCCCAUGGCUAAUUGAACUGAUUGGAGAGGCAGUACAGCGAGGCAAAGGCUGUUCCAUGAAGGCCGUUAUCUCUUGAAUCAGACAGGAGCAGCCCAGUGAGGAGCUUAUCAUGGGAUAAGGAGGCCGACUGGCUCCAGGAAAAACUUCAACAAGAUCAGUUACAGGAGCCAGGUGGAACGUGUGCUUCCCUCCAGGAUAGAAGUGCUCAAGUCUGAGCCAGACAUCUCCAUCACCUCCUCCAAGGCUCAGACAAUACGGCCGAAGAAUCGAACCAAAUAACAUAAGAGCCAGAGAAAGGGAAGAAGUGCUGUCUUCUGGAUAGAUAUAACAUGACUGGGGCAUUGGUGAAACCAAAGAUGCAGUGGCCACCCGCAGGAGACCUGUGAAGGACAGGGACCAGCACCUUUCCCUGAGGAGCUAUUGGCAGUUAGAGGUUAUUGGGGGAAGAGUGAAGGACAUACUCUUCAGUGGUAUAGCCCCUGAGCACUGAUAUGUUUCCCUUGCUCAAGUAACUAACCUUCCAUAGGUGCUCCUGCAGGCAACCCUAAUAAUGCAGCAGCCACAUUAAACAAACAAAUACCCCCCAUGCUGGUACAGGAGGAUGUGCUGUGCUGAGAAUAAGAAGUGAUCCCUGAACAGCAGACAUAUAAGGAAAUCUACAGAUGGAUAAUGAAGAUAGCAAACCUCUGGAUUCUUCCUAACUUGAGACAAAGGUCUGGCAGGUGUUUUCUACCACCAAUAGAUCCCCACUCCUCCCUGAUAGCUAACUGGUCCAGACUGGUCAGGUAUGCUCCCGAGGCCUGGCAUGGAUGUGUGUACCCAAAGUUGUGCUCCUAUCAGCUUCCCUUUCCUCAUCUAAAGCAGCUAAUUCUAAGUUAGGGAAAGGGGACCCCACUCCAACCCACCAGCAACCCUUCAAAGGACCCACCCAACUCCCCAGAAGAGCUUCUGCUUCUUAUGUCCCCCUUCUGCUGUUUAGUGCGUCUUGCAAGUUUUUCCUCUCCAUCUCUCUCAGUGUCUCUCUGUUUCUUUUUCUUUCUUUGUCGUGUUGUCUCUGUGCUCCUCCCCCCCUUUUUCUUCACUUUGAAUAAAAGUAUCUUUCAUCUCUUCCUGUUAAGUUUCAGAUUUUUGCCUGCAGCUACCUGUUGGGAUCAAAACACCCUGCCCCUGCAUUUUAAUUCUUUGAUCAGAAGAGAAGAACAAACUGGAUCCAGACUCCUAGCUGGCAAUAUGAAGAUGAUAAGAGAAGAUAAUAAGGAAAAUGAUGGAAGUUGAUAUAUACACAUGUAUGUAUGAAAUUAUGAAAUAACAACUAUAGAAGGAGAGACAUGAAGUCAGACAUGGUAACACAGACCUGGAAUCCUGUCACCCUGGCAAGGUGUGAGGGUUUGCCUACCUCCAACUCAAUUACUAUCUGGCUUUUAGUCUAAUCUGUAAGGUGCUUGUUAGAACUGUUUGAUAUCUUUUGGGAAAGGGGGCAAGUUUCCCCUCUGGCUGGUGCCCUUUCCUUCUCCUGGCAAGAGCUAGCAUGAGAUUCCUGGGGAAUUCUCAUUUCAGGAAGUCAGUCCACUGUUUCAACCGUCUGACAGUCAGUGCAGGAAAUCAAGAGACAUCAGAUCCCCAGAACUAGAGAAACAACAACAACAAAACGAUUAAAAACUGAUCCAUGUGGGCUGAGAACCAAACCCAGGACCUCUGCAAGAACAGCAAGGGCUCUUAACCACUGAGCCACCUCGCCAGCCCUGAUACAAAGGUCUCUUUAGAAUAUCUUCAUUCCUACCAUGCUGGUUACAUCUGGCGGAUCAUGACUUCCAAACCAGCCUGGGCCCAUAGCAAAACCCUGUCCCAGAGACAAGGAAGGAAAUAACCAGCGCUCAGGAAGCAGAGGCAAGAGGAUCAAUUGAAAUUUGAGGUCAACCUUGGCUAACUUGUCUCGAAAACCAAAUGAUGAAAUAAACCACGACCGAAAACAGACAAGAAGAAAAGCGCUAUCGGGUAAUUCCUUCCUUGGUUCCUAAUCUGGUGGAGGCCGUGGUUAUGUGAGGACACAGGAGAAGGUGGACGUGUGUAAGCCAGCAGUGGAGAGUCAUCCUAAUCUUAGACUUCUCUAAAAUCUAGGCUGAGGAGGAAAGAAAUCUGCUGGUUAAGUCAGCAAGUCCAGCACUGUCACGGUAGUUCAGCUCGAAAAGACAGGCAAUGGGACUGAUGACCUGAAUUUGAUCCCUGGGACCUAUAUGAUGGAAAGAAAGAGCAAGUCCUCCCAGCUGUCAUCUGACCUCCACAUUCCUGCACGGCAUGCCCGGUUCUCAGGCACAUACAACCACAGGAGCAAAAUUAACAGAUAAAUGUCAUUUAAAAAAAAAA